AUUGAACGCUGGCGGCAUGCUUUACACAUGCAAGUCGAGCGGCAGCGCGGGGGCAACCCUGGCGGCGAGCGGCGAACGGGUGAGUAAUGCAUCGGAACGUGUCCCGGAGUGGGGGAUAACGCCGCGAAAGCGGCGCUAAUACCGCAUAUGCUCUGAGGAGGAAAGUGGGGGCUCCGCAAGGACCUCAUGCUCUGGGAGCGGCCGAUGUCCGAUUAGCUUGUUGGUGAGGUAACGGCUUACCAAGGCGACGAUCGGUAGCUGGUCUGAGAGGAUGAUCAGCCACACUGGGACUGAGACACGGCCCAGACUCCUACGGGAGGCAGCAGUGGGGAAUUUUGGACAAUGGGGGCAACCCUGAUCCAGCCAUGCCGCGUGCGGGAAGAAGGCCUUCGGGUUGUAAACCGCUUUUGGCCGGGAAGAAAAGGUUCAGGCUAAUACCUUGGAUUUUUGACGGUACCGGCAGAAUAAGCACCGGCUAACUACGUGC
RNAcentral lists this ribosomal RNA (487 nucleotides) under uncultured bacterium. RNAcentral describes it as "bacterial SSU rRNA". It matches the Rfam family "Bacterial small subunit ribosomal RNA", at positions 28 to 508 of the family's 1533-position model. The record is from RNAcentral.